GCAAAAAACAAAAACGUUUCUGAAGUAUGUUUUUACAGCAGAUCUAGCCCAUACCUUUCAACAUGUAAAAUAGAAAAAAGGGACACAUUAAUUUUAGGAGUGUGAGUGGGUGUUCUGCGAAAUUUUAGGUGACAUAAAAACAGCAAUUAUUAUUAUAUCUUAUUUACACAGACUGAUUUCUAAACACAUUUAUUGCAUUUUAAAGACACAUUACUGUAUUAAUGAUGUGAUGUUCUGGAAUACACUCAAGACACACAAACAAUACUGAUCCCCUAUGAAAGAGGGACCUUAGGACAGAAAAUAAGGGAGGGGGUCUUUUCUUAACACUUGGGACAAUUGGGAGGUGUAUAUGGAGCCGAAUGUUGUUACCUCUAGCUGUAGAACGACCCUAACCCAUAUACACAGCCUGCUUUAACCACUUCACUACCAAGAACAUUUUGUUUGAAAAAAUAUUAGCAUUAUUUGAAACAAAGGAUGCAUAACUA
Molecule: non-coding RNA, 485 nt
Organism: Pelobates cultripes (western spadefoot toad)
Lineage: Eukaryota; Metazoa; Chordata; Amphibia; Anura; Pelobatidae
Source: the annotation of a GenBank genome assembly